GCCGAGCUGGUGAAAUUGGUAUACACACAGGUUUUAGAGAUCUGUUCCUUAUGGAAUGGGGGUUCAACUCCCCCGCUCGGUA
This 82-nucleotide transfer RNA is filed under the name Johnevansia muelleri (SeqCode). RNAcentral describes it as "Candidatus Johnevansia muelleri tRNA-Leu (TAG) (tRNA-Leu-TAG-1-1)". It matches the Rfam family "tRNA". From Rfam's summary of the family: Transfer RNA (tRNA) molecules are approximately 80 nucleotides in length. Their secondary structure includes four short double-helical elements and three loops (D, anti-codon, and T loops). Further hydrogen bonds mediate the characteristic L-shaped molecular structure. tRNAs have two regions of fundamental functional importance: the anti-codon, which is responsible for specific mRNA codon recognition, and the 3' end, to which the tRNAs corresponding amino acid is attached (by aminoacyl-tRNA synthetases). tRNAs cope with the degeneracy of the genetic code in two manners: having more than one tRNA (with a specific anti-codon) for a particular amino acid; and 'wobble' base-pairing, i.e. permitting non-standard base-pairing at the 3rd anti-codon position. The record is from Rfam by way of RNAcentral. Lineage: Bacteria; Pseudomonadati; Pseudomonadota; Gammaproteobacteria; Johnevansiales (SeqCode); Johnevansiaceae (SeqCode).